UAACACAAUCAUCGACGGCAUCUGCAAGAGAGGAAAUCCUUCUGUGGCUGUUAAGUUGUUCAAAAAUAUGGACAAUAAAGGUUGCAAGCCUGAUACUGUAACUUACAGCACACUUAUUGACUGUU
This 125-nucleotide microRNA precursor is filed under the name Daucus carota subsp. sativus. Its description in RNAcentral is "sRNA DCAR_mi00204". The record is from RNAcentral. Lineage: Eukaryota; Viridiplantae; Streptophyta; Magnoliopsida; Apiales; Apiaceae.